GACGAACGCGGCGGCGUGCCUAAUACAUGCAAGUAGAACGCACAGUUUAUACCGUAGCUUGCUACACCAUAGACUGUGAGUUGCGAACGGGUGAGUAACGCGUAGGUAACCUGCCUGGUAGCGGGGGAUAACUAUUGGAAACGAUAGCUAAUACCGCAUAAUAUUAAUUAUUGCAUGAUAAUUAAUUGAAAGGUGCAAUUGCACCACUACCAGAUGGACCUGCGUUGUAUUAGCUAGUAGGUGAGGUAACGGCUCACCUAGGCGACGAUACAUAGCCGACCUGAGAGGGUGAUCGGCCACACUGGGACUGAGACACGGCCCAGACUCCUACGGGAGGCAGCAGUAGGGAAUCUUCGGCAAUGGACGAAAGUCUGACCGAGCAACGCCGCGUGAGUGAAGAAGGUUUUCGGAUCGUAAAGCUCUGUUGUAAGAGAAGAACGGGUGUGAGAGUGGAAAGUUCACACUG
Molecule: ribosomal RNA, 466 nt
Filed under: Streptococcus gordonii
Lineage: Bacteria; Bacillati; Bacillota; Bacilli; Lactobacillales; Streptococcaceae
Description: bacterial SSU rRNA
Rfam family: Bacterial small subunit ribosomal RNA
Source: RNAcentral